This 253-nucleotide ribosomal RNA is filed under the name uncultured bacterium. RNAcentral describes it as "partial 16S ribosomal RNA". It matches the Rfam family "Bacterial small subunit ribosomal RNA", at positions 524 to 776 of the family's 1533-position model. The record is from RNAcentral.
UACGGAGGGUGCAAGCGUUAUCCGGAUUCACUGGGUUUAAAGGGUGCGUAGGUGGGUAAGUAAGUCAGUGGUGAAAUCUCCGGGCUUAACCCGGAAACUGCCAUUGAUACUAUUUGUCUUGAAUACUGUGGAGGUCAGCGGAAUAUGUCAUGUAGCGGUGAAAUGCUUAGAUAUGACACAGAACACCGAUUGCGAAGGCAGCUCACUAAAUUGUAACUGACGCUGAGGCACGAAAGCGUGGGGAUCAAACAGG